GAUGCUGCCGUUCCGGGAGCCCCUGCCCCCGGGGGUCCCCACGGAGGACGCCUGCCUCCGCGGAGGAAGAAGCCACCCGUGGAGAUGUCCCCCAGACGAUUGUACCCAGAGGAUGCCCUUCGAGCAGCCACCAUUUAUUCCAUCAUGUCCACCCUGAAGGAUGACCCUACGGAGAUGUCCCCCAGAAGGACAGCGCCCACCCCCAGAAGAGGCUUCAGGAUGACCCCCUUUAGGUCUCACCUCCCUAGGGGACGCCUGACCCCAGAGAAUCCCUCUCCUGAGACUAUCCCUUCUCCCCAGAGAAGUUCCUCCAGAGGCUGUCCUCUGAAGGAUGCCCUCUGGUCGGUGCUCCGUGCCUCGCCACCGGGUCUGGAGUCCCUGUGAUCCUGCUAGCUGUGGUCAGGCGAGGGGUGGGGGGCGCUGGGCUCCGGAGGCUGCUGACCGGUGCCUGCGCCCUCCACUGGCAGCACAGGACAGCCUAGUAAUCUUCCAAGUCCUCACUCUAUCUGCAGGUGAUGCCUCAGGGAAUGCCACAUGAUAUUGGGAGUGACAUCCCAACGCUGUUGCCACCGGGUCAGUUGUGGGAAGUCACAGGUGCCACACUUAGGUGGAGGGACCACACAGUCUUGAAAGCCAGGAGACAGAGGUUACUGGGGUCAGCCUAAGGAUGGUGCAACAUAGGCUGACCCGAAUAAAAUGCCUCCUUAGGAAUCUCUGGGGGACUGAUGGUGGCUGGAGGUAGGUGUGCCUUUACACAUUGGCAGUCCCAACUGCUGGGACUGGGGCCAGCUGACAGGAGUUUGGUGCCUGUGGGGGACAGGUGAGAGUGAGGAAGUGAAUGCAGUCUUCCCAUCUCAGUCAUGAGUACUCUUAUUAAGGACCUCUGGUGCUGGCCCCUAGUCCCUGCUGACUUUUAUUAACCUGGGGACAAUCUCUCCUGGCUGAGCAUGUGUCCAUGUGACAUACUUCCUAGGAAGACAGUACUGAACCCCGAAGCUACAGAGCUCUGGAUAUUUCUGCAGAUUGUCUCACUGUGCAGCCAGUGCAAGGUUACUGUGAAUGUGUGAGCAAGCAGCCCAGGGCUUCUGGUGAGGCAGACCCACUGCAGACUGGGAACAUGGUCCUGUUUGUUAUGUGAUGUACAGCUGGGUUCUGGUUAUAGCUCCAAGGUAGGCAGGGCGGUCUUUGGUGGGGCACUAAUGGUUGCUGGGACAGCUUUCAGGGUUUGAUCUGGGACACCUGGAUGAGCAGGCUGCCCUUUUAGUACUUCAGAGAGCAGAAAAACAGGCAUGCCAAGCCAAGGGACAGUGUCUACCGCUGCCUGCUGCCAGAGUAAGAACCUGGCUACAGCGCCAGAAAGAGUUGUUUUUAAGAUAUUGUGCAACCUCUCUUUUGCACACACAGCCACCAUGAGUUGUCCUUUGGUUUUGUGUAGUUUGUGCAGAGCUCAUCUUUAGAGAGCCAUGAGAUGGCAUUGUGUCUUCCCUGAGCAUCUUCUGCAGUCAGCUGUCACCCAGUGGGGCUCAGUUUUCCAGAUAGCUUUGCUGCCCUUGAUGGGAGCUGAGCAGUGGCACAGCUUGCCUUGUCAUGCUGGAGAGGACAUCUUUGCAAGUAGUGUUGCUUAUGGCUCAGCCUUGCCAGAGUUUGAGGAACAGUGGAACUAACUGUGGCUUCCCUGUUGUCCCUGGACCAGUCUGGAAGAGGUGAGACCACGCCCAGCUGAGCAGCCCUUACUGACUCCCUGCACACUGAUGACACCUGAGGGAACAUCUGUCCGCUGCAGGAAAGGUGCCUGGAGGUCAGGCGUGCUUGGCACACAGUGUGUCUGCUGAGGUGUCCAUCUUAGCAUGGACAGGCUUUGCAAACGAGUGGAUCACAGUGCAGGACUUUGUGCUGUGAAUUCCACCUGGUCAUUCUUACAUGCAGCAGGAGCUCCCGUGAGCUGUAAGGGCUGAAGAACCAGGUAGGGCCACUGGGGCUGUGGGGUGACGCCUGCUCCUGAGGGGCAGCACAAGGCGGAGGCUGACCUGUUGACCAGGCUCUCCAGUGCAUGCUGAAAUCCUGAAGACGCAGCUUUAGGUGGGGCUUCUGACAGUGGUCCUUGCUGGAGAGGGGCCUCCUUCCUGAUCAUCCCUCAGGGUGACUGUCUGCUUCCCUUUCCCAUGCUAGUUCUGGACUCAAAAGAGCCAGGAUCCAGCAGCAGGACCAGCACAAAUGGGCACUGAGUGAAGGUUGACCUGGAAGGAGAGAGCACAUGGAGGUACCCUACUGCCCCACCCAGAAGUGACUGGGUUUGGUGUGAUCAACUUGGACCCCAUGCUGCGCCUCUUGUCACCCAGGACACUGCAGAUUGCUCAGCUUUACAUUGGUAUUGAGAUGCUGAGGUGCAUGUGUGUGUAGGCUGGUCUCCUACCACACCUCCUCAUGCCCAAUGGCUGGACUGUGCUUUGUGAAGAACACUCAUUCAGCAGUCUAAGGUCACAGGCCAGAGAGCAGUUUGGCAGGUGCCAGAGCUGUAUGUCUCUCUGGAUGUGACACAUGUUCAACAAAGUAAUCUCUCUGGACGGUUACUGUUUGUACAUUGUAUCAAGUGAUGUUAACAAGCUGUUUAAGUGUGCUCUACAGUUAGAAAUCUUGGAAAAAUAAAACUUCCUAUUGCAGAAAAA
Long non-coding RNA from Marmota flaviventris (yellow-bellied marmot), 2666 nucleotides. RefSeq lists it as uncharacterized. Lineage: Eukaryota; Metazoa; Chordata; Mammalia; Rodentia; Sciuridae. The record is from RefSeq and is a predicted model, not a curated record.